RNAcentral lists this transfer RNA (69 nucleotides) under Ictidomys tridecemlineatus (thirteen-lined ground squirrel). RNAcentral describes it as "Spermophilus tridecemlineatus (thirteen-lined ground squirrel) tRNA". It matches the Rfam family "tRNA". From Rfam's summary of the family: Transfer RNA (tRNA) molecules are approximately 80 nucleotides in length. Their secondary structure includes four short double-helical elements and three loops (D, anti-codon, and T loops). Lineage: Eukaryota; Metazoa; Chordata; Mammalia; Rodentia; Sciuridae. The record is from Rfam by way of RNAcentral.
GGGGUUGUGGCUCAAUGGUAGAGCGCUUAGCUACCAUGUUUGAGGCCCUGGGUUCGAUCCUCAGCACCA